ACGAACGCUGGCGGCGUGCCUAAUACAUGCAAGUAGAACGCUGAAGGCGGAGCUUGCUUCUCUGGAUGAGUUGCGAACGGGUGAGUAACGCGUAGGUAACCUGCCUGGUAGUGGGGGAUAACUAUUGGAAACGAUAGCUAAUACCGCAUAAUAGCAGUUGUUGCAUGAUAACUGUUUGAAAGGUGCAAUUGCACCGCUACCAGAUGGACCUGCGUUGUAUUAGCUAGUUGGUGGGGUAACGGCUCACCAAGGCGACGAUACAUAGCCGACCUGAGAGGGUGAUCGGCCACACUGGGACUGAGACACGGCCCAGACUCCUACGGGAGGCAGCAGUAGGGAAUCUUCGGCAAUGGACGGAAGUCUGACCGAGCAACGCCGCGUGAGUGAAGAAGGUUUUCGGAUCGUAAAGCUCUGUUGUAAGAGAAGAACGAGUGUGAGAGUGGAAAGUUCACACUGUGACGGUAUCUUACCAGAAAGGGACGGCUAACUACGUG
This 494-nucleotide ribosomal RNA is filed under the name uncultured bacterium. Its description in RNAcentral is "partial 16S ribosomal RNA". It matches the Rfam family "Bacterial small subunit ribosomal RNA", at positions 29 to 507 of the family's 1533-position model. The record is from RNAcentral.